UUUCUUGCUUGAGCCGUCACUCCUCCCUCCCCUCCUUCUCUUCUCCCUUCCCUCUCUCAAUUCCCUCUCCCUCACGGCCCACAGCAGCUACCGGCACACCAGACCACCAGCAGACCACCGUGAGCAGCCCGCAGCAGCAACGCCGCGUUUUCCCUCCCCCACGCACUACAAGCAGCAGCCUCACCACGAACGACCACAGCAGCGGCUGUUUCGUGAGCCACCAGCAGGUACAGCAGCCGCAAGAGGUGGUUCCUCCACCAUUUUCGUGCUCCACACCACUACAAAAACCACUUAUACCCUCACCCAUUUCUAGUUCCCCUUGUGCCCGGUUCAUAAGAGGGGCGUAAGAACCCCUUCGAAGCGAUUUUUGUGGCUUGUCAUCUUGCAGUGCAGCAGGGGCGUCGUAGAUAGGUCUUGCAGGUUUUGGAGUUUCCUUGCAUUGCAUAUGGGGGGGGGGAUCGAGUGAGAACCUUGACGCGUGCCCUGUUCGAACCAUUUUUGACGCUACAUGUGAUUUUGAAUUGAAAGUGUGUAUGUUUUGGUUGAGGCAUGAGUCCUCCUUUUGAUGUAAUUCGUUCCGCUGCAAAGAUUUAUAUCGUUUUAUAUUUUGUUAUAGUAUCUUGAAUGGCUUGUACAGUGGAUUAUCUUUUUGCUUGGAAAACCCAAGUGUUUACAUGGGAACCACGAUCCAUGCUUAGCAUGUCGACAGAGGUUUUGGCGAUGACCUUUCCGCCGUGAUUCUGUUACGAGGCCAUUGAUGCCUCUUCAUUAUGAUGAUUUAUCGUUUGUCUAAAUCUUCGGCGCGUCAAAUUUCAAGGCAGAUGCUGCCGAAAUUUCCGUAGGAUUUUGUUUGGAAGUUUUCAAACGUCAUCUCUUUCUUUUUCCUAUUUAAAUAAGUAUUUAUUUCUACAAGUGACACCCUUGAAGGGUCUGAAAUUCAGGGGUGUUACAGGUACCCUAGUGGGUUUAGUUCCCGGAGAUAGGACCAUCUGUAUAUGGUCGCUGUACGGGGGUGUGAUCAUGCUUUACCGUUGGGCGCAGGUAUGGCCCGUCAUCGCCCUUGGUUGAUGCCAUGUGGGUCUUGCAAAUUCCAAUAUGGUGGCCUCUAGUCACAUAUAUAGACAGAUAUUUGAAAGUGGUUAAGCUCUUGGUUCAAGUGAUAUCGAGAAGUUAUGAAGUUGAAAAAAAGUGAAGAAGAUGGAAAUGACGGUGAGAAGUAGGAAUUGAUGUUUAGUGGUUAUGAUCAGCACCUAGAGUGUUGUGGAAUCACCCUCAUAUUAUGACACACUCUACUGAUACUAAUUAUGUCUUACUAUGAUAUGAUGUUAGUUUCUGACGUGUACAUGUUUGAUUUGUUUGAAAUGGCUCUUUCUAUGAUGGCCCUGUGAUGACACGUUUGAUAUUUCCUUCUUACGUUGAGCAGCAGGGAGAUCAUAGAUAGACUUAAACAGGUUAUGGAGUCUCUUGUGCAUGGCAUAUGGGGGAUCGAGCGUGCAACCUAUGUUUAUAAUAAUGUUUUCAUGGGUUUUAACCCCAAAGUUUUAUUUUUUCCUGUGUUGUAUAUGUUUUGAGAGACUUGCGACCUCCAUUUGUAUAAGUUUAUUUCCGCUGCAUAAUUUUUUGGUUUGUAUGUUUUAGUUUAAAA
Long non-coding RNA from Amaranthus tricolor (Joseph's coat), 1645 nucleotides. RefSeq lists it as uncharacterized. The transcript is spliced from 3 exons. The record is from RefSeq and is a predicted model, not a curated record. NCBI's taxonomy places the organism in Eukaryota, Viridiplantae, Streptophyta, Magnoliopsida, Caryophyllales, Amaranthaceae.